This 506-nucleotide ribosomal RNA is filed under the name Enterococcus faecalis. RNAcentral's name for it is "bacterial LSU rRNA". It matches the Rfam family "Bacterial large subunit ribosomal RNA", at positions 1 to 551 of the family's 2925-position model. The record is from RNAcentral. Lineage: Bacteria; Bacillati; Bacillota; Bacilli; Lactobacillales; Enterococcaceae.
AGCGACUAAGCGUACACGGUGGAUGCCCUGGCAGUCAGAGGCGAUGAAGGACGUGCUAAUCUGCGAUAAGCGUCGGUAAGGUGAUAUGAACCGUUAUAACCGGCGAUUUCCGAAUGGGGAAACCCAGUGUGUUUCGACACACUAUCAUUAACUGAAUCCAUAGGUUAAUGAGGCGAACCGGGGGAACUGAAACAUCUAAGUACCCCGAGGAAAAGAAAUCAACCGAGAUUCCCCCAGUAGCGGCGAGCGAACGGGGAGCAGCCCAGAGCCUGAAUCAGUGUGUGUGUUAGUGGAAGCGUCUGGAAAGGCGCGCGAUACAGGGUGACAGCCCCGUACACAAAAAUGCACAUGCUGUGAGCUCGAUGAGUAGGGCGGGACACGUGGUAUCCUGUCUGAAUAUGGGGGGACCAUCCUCCAAGGCUAAAUACUCCUGACUGACCGAUAGUGAACCAGUACCGUGAGGGAAAGGCGAAAAGAACCCCGGCGAGGGGAGUGAAAAAGAACCU